AUACAUUACAUGUCUACCAUACUUCAACUUCUAAUUACAUCAACUGUAAAUCCCAAGUUAAUUAAAACCUGUUGAGAAUUAGUAUGUGCAAAAUACCUGUUGUGGUGGGAGUUUUUUUGCUUGUUUUUAGGGAAUUUCUAAGAAUGGGAUGCACGUUUUUCAUGAACUCUGAUAUGGCUUAAUCAGUGGUAAUGUUUGUAUUGAAGCAUUAACUUUCCAAGUACAGUGUUCCUCUGUGUCUGAGUUGUACGUACUCCCAUGCUGUACUCAAGUGUCCCCAUUUCUUGCCAGAACAAAUACAAACAUAGUCUGGUGUUAUUAAUACUGUGUUGUGAGUUUUCACCUCUGCAAAUUCAUCAAGAGGUCCCUAUCUUAUUCAAAAGAGAAAACAAGCCAAGUCGCUGCCAAUUGUAGGUAUAAAUCACCCUGAUGAAUAUGUGAAACCCUAUCAAGUUUCAAGACAAUAGCUUAAGUAUUCACAGCUGAGUAUCACUCUAUCUGUUACUGGUCCAAAACUCCUUUCUGUUCCACAUACAGAAAGACUUUUGAUGUCAGCUGAAGUUUUGUGCGAAGACCCAAGUGCAGAAUAAGCAAAAAAUACUCAAAGCAAAGGUCUGUCUGUCUAUUGAACACUGCAGGUCAUUCUUGUUGCCCUUGGCUUCAAUGCCAGUAAUGACAGCAACAGGCAUAAAACGUGAGCCUGGAUGUAUUGGCAGCAUGUAGAAGGUUUGUUUUAUUGUCCUGCAUACAUUCAAAGUACAGGGGCUAUGAGGCAAAGCAAUUCAGUUUCACGGACUCUGAAGUGUCAGGAUGAAAAAAGUCUUUUCAAAUUGCUUUGAUUCUCAGUAAAUAAGAAAAUACCUUUCUGCCUCUGUAGGUUGCUGUGAUAGCAUUGUCCAGUGUGCAUGAGGUCACUGAGCUUGCUUGGGUUUCAUCUUAUUCAUAGAGCUCAGCAGUGCUGUUGUACUGGCUGUCCUGUGAGAACACUGCCAUCCUGCUCUCACAGCAAAGACAAAUAGGUCAGAGAUCCAAGAGUGAGGGAACACCACAUCUGAAACUUCUGCUCUCCCCUUGCCUUUUAGUACAUCUAAGUAUUUUGCACAUCUGUAGGUUGGAUUUGAGAGUACCUCUGUGUCAAGCACAGUUCCUAUCCUUUUAUUUUUUUCAAUAAAGCAAUCAUGGAAAAUGUUCAGUUACAGCACAUGUAUUAAUUAUAAUUAGAAUGCAUGCUAAUUAACUGGCCUUCUAAUGUGAAUUAAAUGCUGGUUCAGACAUUCAAAAUUAUUAAUAAAUUUUAAUCUUACAACUCAAAAAUUUGUAAAAUAAAUAACCUCCUUCUAAAGUAUAAACCCUAUUCUAAAAUACAUUACAGAUAACCACUCACAGAUAACCGAAGUGAGAACACUUCGGGUCCAGUGCUGGGUCUCCAGUUAAACACCAGAAGUUUGGGCAAGGAUCUUCCUGUUUGCAUCUCUGAACAUCCAGAUUAAAGCUAAGUUUCUGGUUUGGUUAUGGUAAAUCCUGGGUUUUGCAAGUCUCCAACAAGACAGUUUAGAAAAGAAUUCAGGUAGCACUGCAUGCACUGUAAUUUAAAAUACUGUAUGAAAAUUACUAUUGUAAAAAUACUGUCUGAAUUUGAAGAUCAUAAUGUAUGGAACCCUGGCAUGAUCAAUAAUAUUACAGAUGUUAAUUGAAAUACUGAAUAGUCGAUGCUCCUUUUGGAGUGCAGGUACUUCUGUGGUACACAAAAGACAAUUUCUAACUGUGAUUUGUGAGGUAUCUGCAGAACCACGUUGCAGUUUGUAAACAAUCUGAAAACAACUUUGUCUCCAAACCAUAAUAAAUUUAAUAAACCGGCACGAGGGAGAGAAUGAAAUACAUGUUCUGUAGGGCAACCACCGCACUUCUUGCAGCACCAGUUCUCCCUGCUGCAUGUUAAAUGGUACAAAUCCACAUGUUAAUUAUUAUCAUUCACUUUGAAUUUAUUGCUCUCAGUCUUUGACUACAAGAUAAAGAAUAAGGCAGCAGUUCCCAAAACACAUGAGAUUAGGCACUGGAACUCUGACAACUUGUGCAGGUUUUGCUUGUUUCCUGUUUGUAACUCUGAAGCUGGACAGAACACUUGUACAUUCCAAACGUGUUCAACAGCAGUUGUCUGGCCUUGAACUGAACUUCCUCCCAUUUAGAUGAGCUACCAGGAACUGGAAAAACCAGGAAAAGAUUUCAUAAUUCUCGUAAUAUUCAACCCUUUAAAAAAUGGACAAUCAAACUGUCUUCAUAUUUACCACAUGGUCUUACCAACUCAGAUGUCUUUAUUCAAACUCCCUUAUCAAUUUUCUAUUGUUCUGUGGCUGUGAUACAAUAUGCACACAUCUUUAUCUUUUAUCUGGAACCGUAUCUAGGUAAAACUGUCUCUGUUAAAUAGGGGUAUGCAGAAAGCUUUCUUUCUAAGAACUGAUAUGCUUGAUAUUGUGUUAGAUAUCAAUAUCAGCAUGUUUUGGCAACAUGUUCAACUUUCCACGAAUCAGAUCCCUGCAUUAGGGAAUUUCUGAAGAGAAGUACUUAACCUCAUCAAAUAGGGGAAAAAAAAAAAAAAUCUCUACUGGAUCAACAUGUCUCAGCAUAAAUGUAUUUUCUUUCUUUGCCUAACUUCCAUUUACACUUUGUCCUCGUGGGUUAAUGGUUUCUAUAUCUCACUGUACGAAAUCAUAAACGAUAGAUUUUUUUUUCCCAGAAUGCUAUUUCCUGGAUGUGAGUUCGUAAGAACAUAAGACGAGAGAUAAAGAGGUUUGAGUUUUGUCAUCUGCCCCACCCCUGGCUGGACUAAAAUUGCCAUAGAGCAGCUUACCUAAUUGCAAGUGGACUAUGGCAGUUGUUUUUCCUGCAGUGAGAGACCAAACAUUUAAAUCUUCUAUAGAAUAAACAUCUUCAAUUUUCAUCAAGUCUUCUUUAAUACGAUCCACAUUUAAAUGCCUUGGGACUCCUGUGAUACCAAACGUAAGAUAAAGUUAACUGUCCUCUGCAAAAAAAAAAAAGUCAUUGACAACUUUCAAAACAUUAAUUGUUUUAUAUAUGUAUUUCUUGCAAGCCCAUUCUCUGGAGCUCCUGAGGACUAGCUGGAAAAGCUCUGUAACAUACACUAAGACCACCUUUCAUCACUGUAAUAACAUCGUUAAUUCAGACAUCUUUAUAACAGCUGGGAUGCAAACAGAAGUCAGCAAUAAUUCAUAUGAAACAGAUGGGAUGGUGCAGGUCAAAGACUCUUGAAGACUGCUGCAACUUAGAUGAGUUGAACUGAAAUCUGAACUGAAGAACUGAAAAAAAGAACUGAAAUCCUAAAGCAAGAUCAACAAAUUCCAGACACAGCCCAUAUUGCUGGAGAUGGUGGUUGUGACAUCCAAGUGCCAGUGCUUCAUUUGACAUAUAGAAUCACAGAAUGGCCUGGGUUGAAAAGGACCACAAUGAUCAUCUAGUUUCAACCCCUUGCUAUGUGCAGGGUUGCCAACCACCAGACCAGGCUGCCCAGAGCCACAUCCAGCCUGGCCUUGAAACACAUGAAACGCUGCACGCUGUGAGGAUCUUACCUUCCAAAAUUAUAACUCCUGUAUCACACAGAAUUCGGACUGUUGUGAAAACUACCAGUAUGGAAAACACAUAUGUACAAAUAGGAUCAGCAAUCUUGUAUUCUGGCUGGAAAGGAAGGUCCAGAGUGUUAAAAAGAUGCAUGAAAGCAACCUUCAUCCAAAUGGGGAGUCAAGGACAGGCAGUGUCGUCUUCCAUCUGCAUGAAGAUAACCCCAUUUUCUCAGAAAAGACCACAUCUCCAGCGUCAGCUCAACUAUUACUUCAUUUCUCAUUUUACUUUGAGAUCAUUCAAACUGGAGAUUCUAGCAAGCAGAGCAUGCAGCUGGCGUGCCACUUGGCAGGCUUCAGGCUCCAGCCAACAUAUCUCGAGUAAAGGUAUCUUUGUACACAAUUAAAAGCCUCUUAGUGAAGAGGCUGACCACGAGGAAAGAGUGAAGGGAAAUUCACAGCAGGCUGACUGCUUUCAAGAUCAGUGAAAAACAUGUGUGCAGCCAUCUAUCUGGGAGUGCCCACCUGCAGAGCUAGGCCCUUCUUCCCAGCCACACAAAUAGCAAGGUUGACACUGCGGGGGUUCCUUGUUCUGCCUGUAACUACUGACUGCACCUACCUCUGUUCCACCUGUUCCUGUCCCCCAACCCCUUUAUUAAGAUGUCUCUAAGUCUCAGAGUGAAACUAAGAGGUUGAAACUCUGCACAGGCCAUCACAGCUCCAAGAUAAUUUGCUUUCUCACAUAAUUUCAGAAGGUAUGUCCUAGGAAUGUGCAACUCAGCCUGUUCUAUUGUCAGCACAGAAUAAAACAAUUACGUCUAAGGACAUUCACUUCAAUGCUUUCUGCAUAUGAUCAUUUACAGUACAUAUGUUAAUCCAUGAGUAUGAAAUUGAGAAGUGCUUCAGCCCAAGGUAAGCCAACUCCAUUUCAGCUAGUCUCUCCAGAGACUACAUAAACAGAGAAUUCAGAUAUUAAAAGUAGUCUUACUGGAGCACGUGAUCGAGAAAGUAUCAUUGAGAUGAAUGAAAUUCUGAAUUUGAAGGCCCUCUGUUUCCUACUACAUAGGUUCAUUGCUUGGCGAAGCGCUGCCCGGGGGCUGCUGAAACACAGUCAACAACUUGAGAGGGAGAAAACAGGAAAACAGACAUCUACAACUUUCAUGAAGAAGCCUUGAAAGCUCACCACUGUUCUCACCAACCUGUGAAGGACAGCAGUCCUCCCUGUGAAUGAUCAAUUAGAAAUCUCUGAACAUAACUGAAUGCAUCAAAAAGCUGUCAAGGAAGGUGACUGGAUUUGCGUUGUUUUCUGUUUCUUCAUGCAAAACAGUUCCCACAAAGCGAUCUGACUUCUACAGUGACUGUUCUUCAAAUUAAGCAACCAACACUGAUGUGGGCUGGAUUCAUGAGCUUGGCAGUAAUUGGAAAAAAACAUAUGCCAAUUGAGAUUUCACAAAGCAGCUGCUGGAACACAAUUUCCUUCAUCUUGACAUUGGUACCAGGCAGCAGAAAGUUUUCUACCAAAUUGUCUGACAGGCUCUUCUGCCCUUCCUGCAGAAAUUCAAAUCUGGCAAAGAUAACAGGAAGAGGUCUGUUAAUGUCCCACAUAGCCAAAGUCUCCCAAAUACUUUGGCUAUAGGUUUGUCUAAAAAGUGCCGAAAUUUCAAACCAAAUGGGUCAGAACACAACCCUGGGCCAGAGUGAAAUACACAGAACAGUUAGUGUGCUGACUUAGGGCUUGCACGCUUCUCUGCUGCUCUUCUUGCACACUUAUUCUGCUGCUGACUGCCUGCCAUAUGACAAGGUAUUCACGUCAAGACCUACAAAAGUGCACAGAUGCCCAAGUCCUACUUGUUCUCUCAGGAAAUUGGAUGCCUGAAUAUUUUAUGUGUCUGGGCCUCAGCGCUGUCUGCCGCAGUGCCCAAAUACUGCACCAGUGCUGGUAACCGCAUACAGGAACCUGAGAAUGAUGAGUCCACACUACAGCAGCAAUGCUUCAUAAGGAGAAAUCAGUCACUCUGACCUGAGCCUGCAGAAGUCCUGGUUGUAAGGGAGAAACAGUGGAUAAAGUGACAGUGAUAGAGUAUUUUUCCUCUCAACACCUAUUAUUUCUGGAGCUGACCAGGCACUAGAUAUGGAGAUAUCUACAACAGUGUGAAAACACAGACUCUGUGACUUCAGCAUCAAGCUGCCAACAGCUCAGGAACAUUACUCAGCAUUGUGCCCUUCAGAUGGACUAAAUUCAGUGUGUAUCAGAAUGCUAUGUGAGUACAAUUAAAUGAAGUCACGCUUACCACAAAUGAUGUCCACAGCUGAGAAGCAACACUGCACUAACACUAAUCCCUCAUCAAAUUUACCUGAGUUCACACUGUGCCAAAAUCUCAGCCAGAGAAAAAAGAGCCAGAGGCAAAUGAAGGCAUUCAACCAGAUCCCUGCAAGCCUGAAGCCGAGUGCUGAUCUGUGAUGAGCUGAUGCAUUGUGCCAGUGUUACUAACGAUUAACCGCACAUUGAAAGCGAGGUGCUGAGAGACAAAGCCACUGUUUUCUCUUAACCCACAUUCCUGAAACAAGGCCCAAACAAAACUGUGGUGCAGAUGCAGUCAGUUAUCUGCUCUCCUUCUGAAAAAAAUGGCCAUUUCUCAUACCACUUUUUAUUUUGCUCUAUGAAUGUGGGACAAACGGUAUCAUUUUGUGGUACAAUACCUGAGGCAUCUUUCCUUCAAAUUUAUUUGCUUCUGUUUUUUUGGCUGGUGAAUUACGGCCACUAAAUUCACUAAAUUUUCUAUUAUUUGGACCUGUGUGUUAAAAUGUGAGCAAUUUGAAUGAAAUUAGUUGUCAAUCAUUGUCUGCUGCUAAAAAGAUUGGGCUCAAGUUAACAGACUGUCUAAUAACUGAUGGUGCAGUGCAUCCCAUCCAGGCACUGUGCAUCACUCCCUGCUGCUUCAAACCAGCCAAAAUGAAGGAGUUUCAGCAUUCUGCAGGUGGCUGAGCAGCCUCAAGUGCUUGCACUGAACAUCAUGGGCAGAUCAAAAACCAGGUGGUAACAGGCACUGAUACUGCAUUGGUAAGUGAUCAAAGAUAAAUAGUACACCUCGUAAAAAUGGGUAGAUAAUGGCAAAGGCAUAACAUUUAAUACCAUAACAUUUAAUACCAUCCAGAGGACUUCAGACCUUAAAUUUUAUGUUAAGCCCUGUCACUGUAGCCACUAAAUACAGUUGUGUUUUGUACAGACUGCUCUAUUAUGCACAGGUUCUACUCAACCUUAAUAGCAAAUGACAGCAUGCCUUUAUGAGAGAGUAAUAAAAGCUGAACUUGAGCACCAGACUCACUCUUCUAGGUAAAACCAGCAGAUCUUUUCCAAGUACUAACAAACAAAAGCCACAAAGAACGUGAUUUAACCAAGGAACUUGCACUGUGAACUGCUAACGUGAUUUAACCAAGGAACUUAACACUGUGAAGUGUUAAAACGUUGCUUGUUCUAACUUGGGUCAUAUGUUUUAUGUCUGGUUGGAGCACACACUGGUCCAGAGCACCGUGGGACAUCAGGAAGUUGUCAAGAGAGCACUCUGCACUGCACUGUUGGGCAGUUUGUCUUCCAGAGUGCAUCACUGGAUCUGACAGCUAGAGAUAAAUCCCAAUAUAGGUUUUGUCGUUAUGUUAACGUCACUCUUGGAAACUCUAUUUGCCUGCUGUCCUUGCAAACACAGCAAGAUUUUAUGGCAAUAAUUAAAAAACACUGGAGAUAAAAUUACCCAUCCUUCAUGCAUACCCGUGCGACAGCACGCAGUCCUCCCUUGACAAUCAGACCUUAGAAACUUACAGAACAGGAGCAAUACAAAGCUGCGAGCCAACAAAAUGCCCACUUUGUGCCAUUCCGGGGAGGCGAUGAGCUUCAGGUAAGGAAGGUGCAAGUUCUCCUUUCUUUCCUUGCACGGAAAGCACGACUGGACUUCGCUCCCGCUCCCCCCGGGGCUUAUCGCUAAUCGCUCCGAGCUGCAAACGGUUCCCUUCUUACGCAAAAGCGUAAAACCGAGGCCGGAGCAGCGCCCGACUCACCUACGAGCUCCCCCGUCAUGAAGAGCAGAU
Molecule: long non-coding RNA, 7655 nt
Organism: Lagopus leucura (white-tailed ptarmigan)
Lineage: Eukaryota; Metazoa; Chordata; Aves; Galliformes; Phasianidae
Exons: 4
Source: RefSeq, a predicted model, not a curated record